AUUGAACGCUGGCGGCAGGCUUAACACAUGCAAGUCGAGCGGGGUGAUGGUGCUUGCACUAUCACUUAGCGGCGGACGGGUGAGUAAUGCUUAGGAAUCUGCCUAUUAGUGGGGGACAACAUCUCGAAAGGGAUGCUAAUACCGCAUACGUCGUACGGGAUAAAGCAGGGGAUCACUUGUGACCUUGCGCUAAUAGAUGAGCCUAAGCCGGAUUAGCAAGUUGGUGGGGUAAAGGCCUACCAAGGCGACGAUCUAUAGCGGGUCUGAGAGGAUGAUCCGCCACACUGGGACUGAGACACGGCCCAGACUCCUACGGGAGGCAGCAGUGGGGAAUAUUGGACAAUGGGGGGAACCCUGAUCCAGCCAUGCCGCGUGUGUGAAGAAGGCCUUAUGGUUGUAAAGCACUUUAAGCGAGGAGGAGGCUCUUUUGGUUAAUACCCAAGAUGAGUGGACGUUACUCGCAGAAUAAGCACCGGCUAACUCUGUGCCAGCCGCCGCCGUAA
This 503-nucleotide ribosomal RNA is filed under the name uncultured bacterium. RNAcentral's name for it is "partial 16S ribosomal RNA". It matches the Rfam family "Bacterial small subunit ribosomal RNA", at positions 30 to 523 of the family's 1533-position model. The record is from RNAcentral.